Molecule: ribosomal RNA, 978 nt
Filed under: uncultured bacterium
Lineage: Bacteria
Description: bacterial SSU rRNA
Rfam family: Bacterial small subunit ribosomal RNA (bases 1-852)
Source: RNAcentral
GAUUAACGCUGGCGGCGUGCAUAACACAUGCAAGUCGAACGAUGAAACUUUUUUGAUUUCUUCGGAAUGAUUAAAAGUGGAUUAGUGGCGGACGGGUGAGUAACGCGUGAGUAACCUGCCUUAGAGAAGGGGAUAGCCUUUGGAAACGAAGAAUAAUACCCUAUGAAACCAUAACCUCGCAUGAGGCCUUGGUCAAAGAUUUAUCGCUCUAAGAUGAACUUGCGUCUGAUUAGUUAGUUGGUGGGGUAACGGCCCACCAAGACAGCGAUCAGUAGCCGGCUUGAGAGAGUGUACGGCCACAUUGGGACUGAGACACGGCCCAGACUCCUACGGGAGGCAGCAGUGGGGAAUUUUGCACAAUGGGGGAAACCCUGAUGCAGCGACGCCGCGUGAUUUAUAAGGCCUUCGGGUUGUAAAAAUCUUUUCUAUGGGAAGAAAAUGACAGUACCAUAGGAAUAAGGACCGGCUAAUUACGUGCCAGCAGCCGCGGUAAUACGUAAGGUCCGAGCGUUGUCCGGAAUCAUUGGGCGUAAAGGGUACGUAGGCGGGUAAGCAAGUUAGAAGUGAAAUCCUAUAGCUCAACUAUAGUAAGCUUUUAAAACUGCUCAUCUUGGAGGUAUGGAAGGGAAAGUGGAAUUCCUAGUGUUGCGGUGAAAUGCGCAGAUAUAUGAGGAAUACCGGUGGCGAAGGCGACUUUCUGGUCAUAUCUGACGCUGAGGUAUGAAAAGCGUGGUGAGCAAACAGGAUUAUAUACCCUGAGUAUGCCAGGGGCUGAAUUCUUGGUUGUAUAUCAAGCUUAUCGGUACCGUCUACCUCGCAGGGGGUGCUCGGUGCCCUGCUGUUGUUUCCUUUGAGAUGUGUGAUGUAGGUGUGAGGGCUGUAGUGAUGUGUUGUUGUGUUGGGUGUUGUGGUGGAUGUUUUGUGUUGUGUGGUGUUGGUGCUGUGGGUGGAUGGUGGCUGGUUGGUGUGUGUGUGAUC